UGGCUUUUUACCAUGAAUAUAGUAGUUAUUAUUGAAGCACACUUUCCUCUAGAACAUUGCUACACAAACAGUGGUACAGGGGCCAGGUACAUUAGUAUCAUAUGUGAUCUUCUUAAAAAUGGAAAAUAUUGGUCCUGACCCCAGAUUUAAAAAGUUACAGCCUUCAUUUUAACAAGAUCUCCACUGCAGAUUUAGGUGCACAUGAACAUUUGAGAAGCACUGCCCUAGGUGUCUUACCCCUAGAGAACAGGUGCAUACACUGGUCAUUCUCUGAUUUCUCUCAGUGCUUAAUACACUUCUUGUGCCAUAAGGUUCUAAUGAUUUGUUAACUAAAUUUCUUAAAACAAAUUCUAAAAACUGAAAAUGCACUCAUACUUUAUUUUUAAUUUUUUCUUGAGAUAAAAUUUACAUUACAUAAAAUUCACAAUUUUAACCAUUUUAAAGUGUACAAUUCAGUGGGAUUUAGUAUAUUUACAAUACUGUAAAACUAACAUCACUAUUUAAUCUAUUUAAUUCCAGAAGAUUUCCUUCAUCCUAAAAAGAAAUUCUAUACCUUCCAGUAUCCCUUCCCCCCACCUCUUGGUAAGAACUACCUUGCUUUCUGUCUCUGUGGAUUUGCCUCUUCUGUACGUUUCAUAUGAAUGGAAUGAUACAUUGAUACAUUAUGUGGCCUUCCUUUUGUGGCUUCUUUCACUUAGCAAAAUGUUUUCAAGGUUCAUCUAUAAAACUUUAUUCCUUUUUAUGGCUAAAUAAUAUUCCAUUGCAUAAAUAUACCACAUUUUAUUUAUCCAUUCAUCAGUUGGCAGGCAUUUGGGUUGUUUUUACUUUUCGGCUAUUAUGAAUAUUGAUAUUCAUACGAAGAUUUGUGUACAAAUUUUUAUGAGAACAUGGUUUUUAAUUUUGGAGGAGUAUAUUCGCAGGAGUGGAACUACUAGGUCCUAUAGUAACUAUAUAUUUAACUUUGAGGAACUGCAAAACUAUUUUCAAUAGCAGCUGCACCAUUUUACAUUCCCACUAGCAAUGUACAGGAACUAAAAUUGUUUAUACCCUUGCCAACUCUUGUUAUUUUUCAUUUUAAAAAAAUUAUACCCAUUCUAGUGAGCAUGAAGUGCUACCUCAUUAUUGGUUUUAUUUUUAGUAGAGAUGGAGUAUCACUAUGUUACCCAGGCUGGUCUCCAACUCCUGGGCUCAAGUAACCCUCCUGCCUUGGCCUCCCAAAGCACUGGAAUUAUAGGGGUGAGCCACCACACCUGGCCCAUUGUAGUUUUGCUUUGCAUUUCCCUAAUGACUAAUGAUGCUGAGCAUAUCUCCAGGUUCUUACUGGCCAUACCUUCUUUGGAGAAAUGUUUAUUAAAAAGCAUUGCCCAUUCUUAACUGUUACUCGUCUAUCGUUGAGUUGUAGGAGGUCUUUAUAUAUUCGGAAUACUAGACGUUUAGCAGACAUAUGAUUUGCAAAUAUUCUCUCCCAUUGUGUGGGCUGUCUUUUCACUCAAUUAAUAGUUUCUUUUGAUACACAACUUUUAAAUUUUUGAUGAAAUAAAAAUUAUCCAUUUUUUUAUUUUGAUAUAUAUGGUUUUGGUGUCAUAUUUAGGUAACCACUGCUUAGUCCAAGUUCACAAAGAUAUACAUCUAUGUUUCCUUCUCAGAAUUUGGUAGUUUUAGUGCUACAUUUAGGUCCCUGAUUCUUUUUGGGUUAAUUUUUGUAUAUGGUGUAAUAUAGGGGUUCAGCUUCAUUAUUUUGCACCUGGAUAUCCAGUUGUCCUAGCACCAUUUGUUGAAAAAACUAUUCUUUCCCUAUUAAAUGGUCUUGACACCAUUGCAGAAAUAAGUUGACUGUAGAUGGACGGACUCAUUUCUGGAUUCUCACUUCUAUUGCAUUGAGAUUACAUAGAUAGAUAGGUAGAUAGACAGACAGAUGAUAGAUAGAUAGAUAGAUAGAUAGAUAGAUAGAUAGAUAGAUGAUAGAUAGAUAGAUAAAUAGACAGGUAGACAUAGAGAUAUCUUAUGCCAAUACCACACUGUUUGAAUACCAUUGUUUUGAAAUUGAAAAGUGUGAAUGCUCUGACUUUGUCCUUCUUUUUAAAGAGUUUUGGCCAUUUUUGGUCCCUUGCAAUUCCAAAUGAGUUUUAAUAUCAGCUUGUCAUAUAAGAUCAUGUCAUCUGCAAAUAGGGAUAGUUUUAUUUCUUCCUUUCCUGUGUGGAUGCAUUUUGUUUCUUUUUUCUUUUCUUUUUCCCCCUAAUUCCCUGGGUAAAAUUUCAAAUGCAAAGUUGAAAGGAAGUGACAACAAUGGACAUCCUUGCCUUUUUCCUGAUUUUAGAAGAAAAGCUUUCAGACUUUCAACAUUAAGUAUGAUGUUAGGUGUGGGUUUCUUAUAGAAACCCUUUAUUAAAUUGAGAAUGUCUUCCUUAUUCCCAGUUUGCUAAGUGUUUUUAUCAUGAAAGCAUAUUGGAUUUUGUCAAAUGCUUUCUCUUUGUCUAUUGAAGUGAUCACAUGUAUUGUUUCUUUCAUUUUAUUAAUAUGGUGUAUUACAUUGAUUAAUUUUUAAAUGUUGAACUACCCUUGCAUUCCUGGGAUAAAUUUCACUUGGUAAUGGCGUAUAAUCCUUCCAAUGUUCUGCUGUAGUCGGUUUAUUAGUACUUUGUUGAAGAUUUUUGCAUGUAUAUACAUUAGGGAUAUUAGGCUGUAGUGUUUUUCUUAAAAAAAAGCUACAUGUUUUCGGCAUUGUAUUGAAGUAGUAUUAGCCUCAUGAUAUGAGUUAAAAAUCAUUCCUUCCUCUUCGUUUUUUUUUUUUUUUUUUUUGGAAGAGUGAGAAGGAUUAGUCUUAACCCUCCUUUUAAUAUUUGGUAAAAUUCACCAGUGAAGCCAUUUUGCUCCUGAACUUUUCUUUUGGGAAGUUUUACGAUUAUUAAUCCAACUUCCUUAUUUGUUAUAUGUCUAUUCAGAUUUUCUAUUUCUUCUGAGUCAGUUUCAGUAGUUUGUGCCUUUCUAGGAAUUUGUCUGUAUUAUCUAAGUUAUGUAACUUUUUGCCAUACAGUUGUUCAUAGCAUCCUCUUAUAAUUAUUUUCACCUCUGUAAGGUCAGUAAAAAUGUCCUUAAUUUCAUUCCUGACUUCUUGCUACUUUCAAAAUUAUCUUUGUCUUUUUCUUUCAAUAGUUUGAUUAUGAUUUGUCUAGGGGUAAAUCUCUUUGAGUUUAUCCUGUUGGGUUUUGUUAAAUUUCUUGGGUGUGUAGAUUAAUGUGUUUCAACAAAUUUGGGGAGUUUUGAGCCAUUAUUUAUUUAAAUAUUCUUCUGCCUUUUUUCUCUUCCCUCUCCUUCUAGGACUCCUCUUAUGUGUAUGUUGGUAUAUAUGAUGAUGUCUCACAGAUCUCUCAUGCUGUAUUCAUUUUUUUCUUUAUUCUCUUUCUGCUCCUCAGAUUGGAUAAUCUUAAUUGAUUUAUCUUCAAAUUAACUGAUAUUUUCUUCUGCCUGCCCAAUCUUCAGUUGAUGAAUUUUUCAUUUUAGUUAUUGUACAUUUCAACUCUUAAAUUUCUAUUUGGUAUCUUUUAAUAAUUUCUAUCCCCUUAUUUCUAGUCUCUAUUUUAUGAGAUGUUUUCGUGCUUUUCUUUUUCUAAGCAGGAUUUCCUGUAGCUCUUUGAACAUAUUUAAAAUAGCUACUUUAAAGUCUUUGUCUUACAAGUCUAAUGUCUGGGCUUUCUUAGGAGCCAGUUAUAUUAAUUGCUAUUUUUUCUGUGUAUGGGCCAUAUUUUCCUGUUUCUUUUCGUGCCCCCAAAUUUUUGUUGCAAAUUUGACAAGUUGGAUAUUACAGCAUGGAAACUCUGGAAAUCAGAUUCUUCCCCUCUUCGGAGUUUGCUUUUUCUGCUUGUUGUAGUUGUUGUUUAUAUUUUAGUGAUUUUUUAAAACUAGUUUUAAAAAAUUAAGCUAAUUUACAAAACUAGUUUUAAAAAAUCACUAAAAUUAAUUCUGUAUUAUUUGUCAUGUGUGCCCCCUGAAGUCUCUGUUCCAUUAGCUUAGUCAUCAGCUAAAGAUUUAACAAAGAUUUCUAUAAAUAUCCUGAACAAAAAAAUUUCCCAAUCUUUGCAGAAGUGUCUGUUUUGAUGCAUGACUUCAAUAUUCAGCCUGGCAAUUUACAACUCAGCUAUAGCUUUCACUUUCUGAUUGCACAGAGCCUGAGGAUCAGCCAGAGGGGAAAAAAUAUUUGCCUGUAAAUGUUUUUGAGCAACGGUUUCCAAGUAGUGGCUUUAGUCCUGGGUGACUUCUGACUUAGGUAAGAUAAAACAAAUCUUUUGAGCCAACCUUCCAAGGAACCACCAGGCAGACCAAGGACGAUCUUUGCAAAAGAGGUCUAUUCUGCUUCUUCAGUGCUGGAACUGGCAAUGCAGGCUUCUAUUGUCAAGGCUACUGCUGAGCUGAGGAAAAAAGGAUAGAACUAGUGUAAGUUAAAACACCACAAAGCUCACUAUAAUUAUAAAGAUUCAGCAGUUUUUCUUGAAUAAAUGCUCCGUGGGUUGUUGCAAGCUUUUGUUAGUUUUCAGCAUUCCAAAAAUAUUGAUUCUGACAGGUUUUUUUCCCCAUUUUUUAGUUGAUUUUAAUGAGGGAUAGACUUUUAGAGUUGCUUACCCUGCCUCUUGUGCUGACGUCAUUCCUCUGCACACAUACUUUUAAUCAGAAUGAGUCAGGUACAUAAAGGAGCAAAUGCAUUAUAGGUCAACAGGUUGCUUUCCAAAUUGUCUCUUCAAAUUCUCUUUCUUUAUGAGAAAAUAUUUUGCUGAGACUUGCUUCUUAAGAAAAUGACCUGUGAUUUAUAUCGUGAUUCAAAUUUUAUGUUGCAAAUCUUCAUAUGAGCAAACGCAUCUCUGAAGAGAUCCAGUGAGAGAGUUGCUCAAUCAUCAAGAUGAAACGAGAGCGCCAGGCCAGGAUGAAAAUAAACUAGUGAUGAACAAGAAGAAAGAUAGAUGAUAUUUAUUGAGACUAUCCAGAGCUGAAGAUACAGCAGUCAUCAAAGCAUAGAAAUUCUUCACUCUCAAGGACCUUACAUUCUAACUAGCUUCUGGUAAUGAAGCCGAGCACCACUUCAUGAGCUGGGCACCAUAAGAUAGGUUCAUAUCCUGAUAUGAACUCUGGCUCUGCAUCUUCAUGUCAACAUAUCUGAUCCAAAUCUUUUGUGAGUUAUAUGAGUAGUUAUUAUAUCAAGAAUUCUUCCUGUAAAGAAAUAAUCCAUCCUCCACUCAGUCCACCUCUUAUAUCACACUUCAGGUCCUACAAAAUGUUCGGCAUUUUCCCAACUACAUCCACCUCCUUGGCACAUUAAAAUGAGUGUUGUACCAAAUGCCCAUCAAUGAUAGACUGGAUAAAGAAAAUGUGGCACAUAUACACCAUGGAAUAUUAUGCAGCCAUAAGAAAGAAUGAGUUCAUGUCCUUUGCAGGGACAUGGAUGAAGCUGGAAGCCAUCAUUCUCAGCAAACUAACACAGGAAUAGAAAACCAAACACCGCAUGUUCUCACUCAAAAGUGGGUGUUGAACAAUGAGAACACAGGGAGCGGAACAUCACACACCAGGGCCUGUAGGGGGUGGGGGGCAAGGAAAGGGAGAGCAUUAGGACAAACACCUAAUGCAUGCGGGGCUUAAGACCUAGAUGAUGGGUUGAUGGAUGCAGCAAACCACCAUGGCACAUGUAUACCUAAGUAACAAACCUGCACAUUCUGCCCAUGUAUCCCAGAACUUAAAAUAAAAAAAAAAUUAAAAAG
This 5744-nucleotide long non-coding RNA is filed under the name Homo sapiens (human). RNAcentral describes it as "HSALNT0282186". Lineage: Eukaryota; Metazoa; Chordata; Mammalia; Primates; Hominidae. The record is from RNAcentral.